ACCAAACUUUUCAGCGGGCAAACCUCCAGCUGGUGACUACCGCCCACUGAUGAGGCAACUAUUUGCUCGCUGAGAAAAGUUACUGUAUCAAGACCCCUUCCGCUGCAGAGGAUUCAACCUAACACUUCACAAAGAUGCCUCUUAUCAGAGACCCGAUUACUUGCACUAUAUACACCUGACUUUGGGAGCCCACCUGAAUCACUGCCCCUGGAAAUGAAA
Sus scrofa (pig) is the source of this 219-nucleotide long non-coding RNA. RefSeq lists it as uncharacterized. The record is from RefSeq and is a predicted model, not a curated record. Lineage: Eukaryota; Metazoa; Chordata; Mammalia; Artiodactyla; Suidae.